GGCGCCCAAGCCGUCGCACUCGCACCCGCCCAAGACCAAGCCCUCCCACCCAUCGCCGUCGCCGUCGCCGAAGCCCAAGAACCCCAAGCCACCCAAAGGCCCCGCGUACCCGGCGCCGGGGCACCAGCAACCGCCCAAGAGCCCCUCCUACCCGCCGGUCACGCGUCCGCCAGUCGUCGGCCCGCCCAAGGGCCCCGUCACGCGCCCGCCGGUCACGCGUCCGCCGGUCGUCGGACCACCGGUGACCUACCCGCCGAUCAUCGGCCCACCGGUCACGCGUCCGCCGGUCGUCGGGCCACCGGUGACCUACCCGCCGAUUACCGGCCCUCCGACGACGCCGCCGGUCGUCGGCCCACCGGUCACCUACCCGCCGAUCACCGGCCCUCCGUCAACCACGCCUCCGAUCACCGGCCCGCCGUCGACGACGCCCCCAGUCACCGGUCCGCCCGUGACCUACCCGCCCGGCGGAGGCGGCGGCAGCUCGACGCCGUGCCCGCCGCCGCCACCGCCAUCUACCCCGACCCCGACGCCGUCGUCGCCGACGUGCCCGGCGGACUCGCUGAAGCUGGGCGCGUGCGUAGACCUGCUGGGCGGGCUGGUGCACAUCGGCCUGGGCGACCCGGUGGUGAACAAGUGCUGCCCGGUGCUGGAGGGGCUGGUGGAGCUGGAGGCGGCCGUGUGCCUGUGCACCACCAUCAAGCUCAAGCUCCUCAACAUCAACCUCUACCUGCCCCUGGCGCUCCAGCUCCUCCUCACCUGCGGCAAGACGCCGCCGCCGGGCUACACCUGUACCAUCUGAUCUCGAUUUGGCUAGCAACCCCCAUGCAUGUGCAUCCAUGAACAUGUAAGUGUGACUAGCUAGCACUAGCAGUAGCUAUAUAUAUAUGCAUGCAUCUCAAGAUCUGCAUGUACCAUUAUUAAUUGCAAAUGGCAUAUGCAUGCUAACUCUGAUCGAUGACUGUGAAAAUGCAGGGGUUCUGGAGUGAGCUAGCAUUCUUUGUUCGGUAGAGAUUGAAGAGAGAUCGACAUGAGAGGAUGUCGUCUGCUUCGUUCCUAGCUAGCUGAAGGGCUCCGAUCCGGCAGAGGAAAGAGGACCUGCAGGUCGAUCAGCUAAUUGACGAUGGAUCGACCAUUUCCCAUGUUUAUUGUUUGUCUCUGUUGUGGUUUCUACUUUCUAGAUGUGUUUUCAGUUUGGUCUCUCGGUCGAUUCGCAGCUUGAUGUUUUGGUUAAGCUUGAUUUGAUGCAAGAGGGGGUGAUGGUUGAUUGUUAAUAAUUCCCGUUAUUUGCCAUGAAAAGGCAUGAACUCGGUCAUGAUUGAGAGCUGGAAGAAACAUUGUUGUUGCAUGCAAUGCAUGCAUGUCUUUGAUCAUUGGUUCACUUGUUUUUUAUCUGCUGUGGUUUAAUUUAUGCUUGUCCAUCUUAAAUAAAACUAGCUACUUAUUUGAUUAAAUUUCUCAACUCAUGGGACUAAGAUCACGCGUGAGAGUUAUAUAUAUGACAGGUUCGUACGAUCGAGUACCAUACUACAUGAAUAAAAAGUAAGAGGUGUUGGUAACUUAUAUAUUCUAAGAUUUGUUGUCUUGUACUUCCUGUAUAAUGUAUCUGAAUAUUAUCUGACAUUUGUAAUUGGAAAUUUGCAAUAGACGACACUGCACUGCACACUCCACAGCCACGCAAAUUAAAGUUGUUGCCGGGGCCCUCGGCCCGAGAGAGAUCUCUCACUCACAUGCAUGAAUAUAUGCGUGGGGAUCUAGUACGUAUACGUACGGCCGCGAAACCCUAGUAUAUAGUAGAGAAUAGUUUGACGACGACGGCGGACGGUCACUCUCUGAAGCUCUGCAUAAUGAUAUGCAGCCGACCGGCGGCACGCCACGAUAGGUGCAAAAGUGACGCGCGAGCAUGUGUCGUUUGGCGCUUUGUCACCCGUGACCGUGAGCGACGGGAGCGCGUCGUCCGGUCCAACGUAUAUACCUGGCCAUGCAGCCCGAGCCCGUUAGCACGGCCCAAAGCCCGUCACUUUGGCCCGGCCCAAGCACGGCACGGCCCGAAGUUCAUUGGGCCCGGGCUGGCACGGCACGGGGGUGCAGGCCGUGCUUGGGCCGCACUUCAGGCCCGCAGGCCGGCACGGCCCGGCCCGCCAAAUAAUGGCAGGCCCGGUACCGGCCCGCUCCCCCACCAGGCCGGCCGGCGCCAGCAGCCAGGCCGCCAGCCCAGUAGGGCGCGCCGCGCGCCUCCCUGGCUUCCACUCCCCCCGACCCCCCUCCAUAUAAAUUUCCGCCCGGCCGGCCCCCGCGGCGCUCGCCCGCCUCACUCAGUCUCCCCACCCGAAACCCUAACCCUAAUCCCCACCGCAGCCGCGCCGCCGUCGCUCGUCCUCCCUCACCACCGCAGCCGCGCCGCCGUCGCUCAUCGACCGUCGGUCGUCGGCCGUCGCCCUCGCACUCGCAGUCACCAGUCGCAGCGCAGGCGCAGCCUCGCACUCUCUCUCUCAGAUCGGAUCCGAGAGGUCGGCUCCUCCUCUCGACUACUUCGCCGCCGUCGUCCUUCGAUCUGGUGACAUCGCCGUCGCCGUCGGCUCUCUGCCUCUCUCCCUGAGUUCCCUGCUCCCUGCCUCCCUCUCCCUAUCUGUCUCCCUUCUUCCUCUAUCCUGUCCAUGAGCAUGUGAGUCCGCCUCCCCGUCUCCGUUCCGUAGUCGCUCGUCGUCCUUCUUAAUCUCGUCUUCUCCGGCGCCGGGCUCCGGUUGCGCAGGUAAGAUCUAACCCUAGAUCUCGUCUUCUUCGUCAUUUUUCUUUUCCCCCAUUCUAAUCUAACCCUAGAUCUGUUCUUUUUGCAGGUCUGUUGCCGAUGCCUCGUCGUCAACUAGCCUUGGUGGCGUAGACGGACGACGGGCUAGGGCAAUGGCACCGCGGCCAAGUCGUGGCCACGCACCGUUGAGGAAUGGUGCUGGAGGAGGAGGAGUACAGUCGUCCGCGGCCGAGGGCCCCUUGGCGACGACGUGCGACGAGUGGACAGGGAAUGACGACUUCAUCGCUGCUGGGCUGUCCCCGGAGAGGGACGAUGACGGCCGUGACCCCUUUGAUGUGUUUGUCGACGCAUCCGGUGGCGGCGGGUCACAGCCUCCCGUGAACGACGUCGAUCCCGUCGAUGCGGUGGACUCCAACACCCACACCAUGAGCACUGGUGUUAAUGGUAAUGGUGAUGGUAAUGCUACUCCUUCCUCUGGUACAUGUGGUAAGCGACGGUCUAAGUGUUGGGAAACAUUUGAUGAGGUUUUUGAGAUGAUAAAUGGUAAUCGUGUGCGUGUUAAAGCUAUCUGUAAGAUUUGUAAAAAAGUUUUGAGUGGUAGAUCUGCUGCUGGUACUGGUCAUAUUCUUAGGCACGCUAAAGGUUGCCUUGCUAAACUUGAUUAGCAAAAUAAGGUUCAGUCUCGACUAGCUUUUAGUUCUGAUGGGGCUUUGCAUAAUUGGAACUAUGAUCCUACUGUUGCUAGAACUGAACUGUGUAGAUUGAUUGCUAGGCUUGAUCUUCCUCUUGGUUUUGGUGACACUGAUGCAUUUGAAGAAUACAUUGUUCGUGCUCAUAAUCCAAGAUUUGUUAGAUCAUCUAGAAGAACCACCACUAGAGAUCUAGAUAAGUUAUUUGCUGAACGUCGUGCUAUGAUUAGGAACUGUGUGCAUGCUUCAUCAUCUGUUGCUUUGACUUCUGACAUAUGGUCUGGUAAUGCUAAGGAGGAUUACAUAUGUGUUGUUGCUCACUAUGUAAAUUCUAACUGGGAGUCGCAAAAGAAGAUUAUAGGUCUUAGGUUGAUUGAAGUUAAGCAUAAUGGUGAAAACAUUUCUGCUGCCAUUGCAUCUGUGGUUGAGGAAUAUGGCUUGAUUGAUAAGAUCUUUUCUAUCACUUUAGAUAAUGCAUCUUCCAAUGCUAAGGCAAUGGAAACUUUGACACCCAUGUUUGCUGGUUAUCUUGGUCCUGACCCUGCACCUGAUGAUGAUGAUCCUAUUAAUAGAUCUUACAGUCUUGUGCAUCAACGUUGUGCUUGUCACAUUAUUAAUCUGAUAGUUAAAUCUGCACUAAAAAGAAUCAAACCUUAUAUAGAGGACUUUAGAACUGCAAUUAAUUUCUUGAACUCCUCUAAUCAAAGAGUUGCUAUGUUUAAGAACUACUGUGAAGCUAAAGGUAUGAGGCCUAGAAAAUUUGGCUUAGACAUGGAUGUUAGAUGGAAUGCUACUUAUCUCAUGCUUAAACAUUUGGUUCCUUAUCGUGAAGUAUUUUCUGUGUUCAUAAAUUCAAAUUAUGGUAGUGCCCUGUUGUCUCAAGCUCAUUGGCAUGUGGCUGAGAAAAUAUUGGAGUUCCUGGAACUCUUUUAUGAAUGUACUGUUACACUAUCUGGUGUUUAUUGUCCUACCAGUCCUCUUGUUCUGCACCAUGUUCUGGAGAUUGCAACUCAUUUACAUGCUUGUGAAAGAGAUCUUAAUCUGAGAGCCUUUGUGUUUCCUAUGCAAAGUAAGUUUCUUAAGUAUUGGAAGACAUUCCUAUGUUAUAUUCAUUUGCAUUCAUUCUUGACCCUAGAGCUAAGCUCAGAGGUAUGCAAAGGGUCCUCCAUUUACUUCAUGAAUGUAGUGGUACUGAUUACACUGCUUACUAUGCUGAUGUGAAAACUGAGUUGCAUAAAUUGUUUGAGAAAUAUUUGAGAAAGUAUGGUGCAUCCUCUAAUCAAAGAGUUGCUGGUCCUACCCCAGUCACAGGUAAGAGAAAACAGGCUUGGGGGAGAAUUUUUGGAGGAUCAGAUCUACCUGGUCCUUCAUCUGCCUGUUCUUCUUCUCAAUCUACUGCUUCUGAACUUGCAAGCUAUUUGGACAGCGACUGCAUAACUUCUUAUGAGGAUGGUUUUGACAUUAUCCUAUGGUGGCGUGAUCACAAACUAACCUAUCCCAUCCUGGCUAUUAUGGCCAGAGAUAUCAUGUCAGUUCCUGUUUCCACCUGUUCUUCAGAGUCUUGUUUCAGUUUAUCUGGAAGGAUCCUAGAAGAACGACGCCGAAGCUUGAAACCCGAACAUGUGGAGAUGCUAACCUUGUUGAAGGACUGGGAGCUAGGAGAGAAGAGGGAGCAACAUCAAGCUGCUGAUAACAAGGAAAUCGAAGAUGCCUUUGAGAAUUUGUUCCUGGAUGAACCUGAAGUUGCAGAUGAGGGUACUGGUGGCUGAGGGGUGGUCAUUUCAUUUGUUUGCUGGGAGUGUUGGUGCUUUUGUGUGAGUUGAGAGUGGUAGUGAGUAGUGACCCUCACUCACUUAGUUUUCAUUUGAACAUUUGAACAAUGGUCUGUAAUAUUGUUAAGACAGUAAGACUUAAGACAUUUAGAGCUGGCUGCACUCUUUUUUCCUGCCUAGGGUUUCUCACAAGGGUGAGUUUUACCUAGGUAGGUUUUUAAUGAGGCAGCAUUGCACCAAACAGCUCAUUUUGAUAUUUACAUCUGUCAACUCUCAUCUGUGUUUGAAUCUGUUAUCUAAGUAUCUAACUGAUGAUUGAUGAAUAUGAAUAUGUUUGAAAUCUGAUUUUAAAUAUGUAUUUAUUGAGAUGUUAUCUUUCAACGGGCUAUGGGCUGGCCCGGCCCUCUAUUUUUACCGUGCCUGUCGGGCCAGCCCGGUACGCAAAACGGCCCGCCGUGCCGUGCCUGGGCCGAAGGUCAGGCACGCAGGCCGGUAAGGCACGGCCCGCAGGGCACGACGUGCCCCCUCGGCCC
RNAcentral lists this long non-coding RNA (5740 nucleotides) under Sorghum bicolor (sorghum). RNAcentral's name for it is "long non-coding RNA (SBIC_LNC018291)". Lineage: Eukaryota; Viridiplantae; Streptophyta; Magnoliopsida; Poales; Poaceae. The record is from RNAcentral.